GACGAACGCUGGCGGCGUGCUUAACACAUGCCAGUCGAACGGAAAGGCCCUGCUUUUGUGGGGUGCUCGAGUGGCGAACGGGUGAGUAACACGUGAGUAACCUGCCCUUGACUUUGGGAUAACUUCAGGAAACUGGGGCUAAUACCGGAUAGGAGCUCCUGCUGCAUGGUGGGGGUUGGAAAGUUUCGGCGGUUGGGGAUGGACUCGCGGCUUAUCAGCUUGUUGGUGGGGUAGUGGCUUACCAAGGCUUUGACGGGUAGCCGGCCUGAGAGGGUGACCGGCCACAUUGGGACUGAGAUACGGCCCAGACUCCUACGGGAGGCAGCAGUGGGGAAUAUUGCACAAUGGGCGGAAGCCUGAUGCAGCAACGCCGCGUGCGGGAUGACGGCCUUCGGGCUGUAAUCCGCUUUCGCCUGUGACGAAGCGUGAGUGACGGUAAUGGGUAAAGAAGCACCGGCUAACUACGUG
This 468-nucleotide ribosomal RNA is filed under the name uncultured bacterium. RNAcentral's name for it is "partial 16S ribosomal RNA". It matches the Rfam family "Bacterial small subunit ribosomal RNA", at positions 28 to 507 of the family's 1533-position model. The record is from RNAcentral.